Molecule: non-coding RNA, 296 nt
Organism: Nicotiana tabacum (common tobacco)
Lineage: Eukaryota; Viridiplantae; Streptophyta; Magnoliopsida; Solanales; Solanaceae
Source: RefSeq, a predicted model, not a curated record
AAGGCCCAAAAAUUCGACCAUGUAUUCAAGUUGUAACAACAAUCAAACACUGGACUAAUGUGCUAUUUUCGCAAUUUCAGAGAGCCGAAACUUGUUAUAAAUAAUAUAAAAAGCAAGUAUUUUUCGGACCAGAGCAUCUUCAGCUGCCAUGGCGACUGUACGAAUGAUAGACAUAGCCGUAAAUUUUACUGAUAGCAUGUUCAAAGGGAUAUACAAUGGGAAGCAAUAUCAUAUGGGGGACAUUCAAGCUGUGUUGAAGAGGGCGUGGAGCGCUGGAGUUGAUCGCAUAAUUGUAA